This is a non-coding RNA of Zonotrichia albicollis (white-throated sparrow), 1223 nucleotides long. The record is from RefSeq and is a predicted model, not a curated record. Lineage: Eukaryota; Metazoa; Chordata; Aves; Passeriformes; Passerellidae.
UCUUAUGCAAAAGUUCGCUCUGUGCUGCCACAGUAGACAUGAAAAAAGAAGGCGCAGUUAUAAAAAGAAGUUCUUAUUCUGAAAUCAUAUCCAAGCUGUUCAAUUUGUCAUAAGCCACCACAAGAGGUUCACAGCUGCUGGCCUAUGCUGAGGCUUAUGUAUAGCAUCAAAGAGUUGGAGAUUGAUGCUCAGAGAAAGAGACUCUGGAAGUGGACUUGAAUUCUAAUUCCGUCUCUCACCUUGUCGUUGAUUGUUUCAUGGAAUGGAUAGUGCAGCUGAAGCCAAAAUUGUGUUUGCUUUACAUCCAGCUCUGAGAACAAGCUCUGGCCACAUUUGUUCAAGUAUUUUCAGCCAGGGCUGACUUACAGAGGCUCAAAAGUAAAAUGAACUGAAGUAAAUGAAAUGAAGUAAAAAAACAAAGUGUGUUAACGCCUUUUCCAGCUGGAUUAUAAAUCCAAAUAAAAAGAUAACCUGACAAAACUUUUCUGUUGCUGUUUCUGGCAAAACAUACCCCUUCUCAGAUUCUAAAAGUUUCGAAGAAUGAAAGUGCUAUUAAAAGGAAUUUUUUUCUGUUCUUUUAUUUUACCUCAUUCUUGUGCUAUGGUAAAAUGAAAUAAUUUUUUAAAUUUUUUCCCGAGAGCCAUUUCACUCAGGACGACUAAUGAUGCUGUGACACCUGCUGUGACCAAAAGACCUUCACUGGAAUGAGGAAUCAUCUUGAAGUCUAAAGAGCUGGACUCCGAUGUAGCUUGCUUUGUUGGGAAAUUGUAUCCUACUGGGAUGAAAUUAUUAUUCUGUUCCCACAGAAGCAAAAGCUGGGAGCUGCCUGAUUCUUAAUGCGUCAGGAAAACUAAGUGCAUUUCUGGCAAAACUGAGAAGAAGGCCUUCCUAUACCACCAGCAUAUUAAGAGAUGUAGAAACUACCAUCAGCCUGCAUGCAGCAAGAUGAGAUUUUGACACUUCACAAAGACACAUGCCAGAACAUAAACUGAGGCCACUGAGGGAUAAGAAGAAGGAAACAUCAUAAGAAUGUAGCAAAGGACCCUGAAAAUGCCUACACACCACACCUCACCUUCCUCUUAAGGACAUCAAUGCCAAUGGCAAUGCUAGGACAGAACACUGAAUUUUAGUAAAUAACUGCGAGUGGAGUUUCUCCUAAAAAGGUACAGUCAUACUUGCUUAUUUUUCUGUAUUCCUCAUGCACUGCAGGAAAAAACAAACAG